This 449-nucleotide ribosomal RNA is filed under the name uncultured bacterium. RNAcentral's name for it is "bacterial SSU rRNA". It matches the Rfam family "Bacterial small subunit ribosomal RNA", at positions 355 to 825 of the family's 1533-position model. The record is from RNAcentral.
UGGGGAAUAUUGCGCAAUGGGGGAAACCCUGACGCAGCGACGCCGCGUGUGGGAUGAAGGUCUUCGGAUUGUAAACCACUGUCGCGAGGGACGAAGCUCUGACGGUACCUCGAAAGGAAGCACCGGCUAACUCUGUGCCAGCAGCCGCGGUAAUACAGAGGGUGCGAGCGUUGUCCGGAAUCACUGGGCGUAAAGGGCGCGUAGGCGGCCCGGUAAGUAGGGGGUGAAAUCUCAUGGCUCAACUGUGAGGCUGCCUUCUAGACUGCCAGGCUUGAGCACAGUAGAGGCGAGUGGAAUUCCCGGUGUAGCGGUGGAAUGCGUAGAGAUCGGGAAGAACAUCGGUGGCGAAGGCGGCUCGCUGGGCUGUUGCUGACGCUGAGGCGCGAAAGCGUGGGGAGCAAACAGGAUUAGAUACCCCUGUAGUCCCUGAGCGGGCUGGCAAGGCGCAU